GUGGUGUGGACGUUUAUUGGGCCUAAAGCAUCCGUAGCUGGCUGAACAAGUCCCCUGUUAAACCCACCGAUUUAAUCGUUGGUCUGCGGGGGAUACUGCUCGGCUAGGGGACGAGAGAGGCAGACGGUAUUCCCGGGGUAGGGGUGAAAUCCUAUAAUCCCGGGAAGACCACCAGUGGCGAAGGCUGUCGGCUAGA
This 196-nucleotide ribosomal RNA is filed under the name uncultured crenarchaeote. RNAcentral's name for it is "partial 16S ribosomal RNA". It matches the Rfam family "Archaeal small subunit ribosomal RNA", at positions 488 to 684 of the family's 1478-position model. Lineage: Archaea; Thermoproteati; Thermoproteota. The record is from RNAcentral.